GGGCCCCCCCAGGCUGGAUGCCCUGCAGACCCUCACUCACCAGCCCCGGCGGCCCGCAGGGUGGAGGAGCGUCCGGUGGUCUUCACAGAUGUCUCCUACUUGAGCCAAAGAGAAGGCGUCUCAGCCCAAACUGCAAAGCCCAGGUGCCCCCUCCUGCCCAAGCUCCCCUCCCCCCCACAAAUGACUUCCUGAUACUAAAGGGUCCCGUCACCCUUCUGUGCAGCUGCUCCUCCUCCAGAGGGAGCCAGGUGCCCCGCCCAGGCCAGGACCCGUCCCCCUGCUAGCUCAUCCAGCUGCAAGCCAAGCCUCUGCCCAUGCUGCUCCCCAACUUACAGGGCCCUUCCUUUGCCGUCUUGUUUACUUGCUGAACUCCUACACAUCCCUCAACACCCAGCUUGCAAAUCCCUUUCUGUGUGGCUUUCCCUGAGAAGUUGCCCUCUCCAGUCCCUGUGCCUCGUCAUGUGUCAUGUGUCGUGGUCUUUGGCCGUUUCCUGUUUUGCCUCCUCAGCAGACACGGAGCUUCGAGGGGAGCUUUGGGCAGCAGGUCAGAGCCUGUGAGUGCAAAGCAGUCAGACCUUGGGGCCCCGUUUUGCCGUCUCACGGCUGUGUGACCUUGGGUGAAUUUUCUCUCUGCACCCCUGCUCGUAUGUAACGGGGGGGGUGGUGGUAAUGCCUGCCCCUCGCCCUGGCGUCGGGAGGUCCUGCAGCAUCGGCCCCAGGAGGGGAGUCCGCGGGCCCCGGGCGAGCGCUGAGGGAAGCCAGGUCGGGGUGCAGGAUCCUUGUUUAUCAGCCCUCACGCCCCAGAGGCUCCCCCCCUGCAAACAGCCCCCUCCGGGUCACUGCCUUAUCUGGAGCUGGCAGCGCACACCCAGAGGUAAGUGGCCAAGGGGGUGGGGUCUGGGGAAUCCUGUUUGUGAACCCUCACCCCGAAGCCGUCUGGUGGUGCGUGUGUGCUUCCUCCGCUCGCUCUACGCCGGCUGUGGCCCACUGCCCGCUGUCCUUGCCUGGGGGCGGGCAUGUCCCCUGCCCGCGCAGCGCUGGGAUGAGACGGGCCGAGUGUGACUCACGUUGGUGACACGGACAGCCCUGGCCCGGCAGCACGGACAGGACAUGGCACAUCCGUUUCUUGGGGAGACUCCUUUGCUCCAGCCUGUGGGUUGUAGAUGAGGCUUCCCCGGGACAUCAGGUGCCCACAUCUGUACACAGGGUCCCGUGUGGACAGCAGGAGCCCUGGUGCCAGCGUCCACGGUCCCUGCACUCUGCGGGCGGCUCAGCGGCCACCUGGAGCUCAGCUGCACCUGCUUUAGGGGAGCUACCACAGUAACCCAGAGGCUCGGAGCGGGGGACAAACCGACCUCGCCAGG
This 1364-nucleotide long non-coding RNA is filed under the name Canis lupus familiaris (dog). Its description in RNAcentral is "lncRNA (ENSCAFG00845017267.1)". Lineage: Eukaryota; Metazoa; Chordata; Mammalia; Carnivora; Canidae. The record is from RNAcentral.